AAAGAUAGCUUCGGAAACUGAGCCUCUCUGAACUUCCUGAUGUAUCCUUUGGCUUGCUUUUUAAAGAUCGACUCAUGAUGGACUCAUCAGAAAUAAUUGGAGGUGGGAGGGAACAAUGUCAUCACUGACAGACUGUGCAACAACAAUUACUUGGAGCAACAGAGAGCAACGGGACAGCAGAGACCAUAUCUCCAACCAUUGAUUGUCCUUCAGGUAAACCAGGAAGUAAGAGUAACUGGACCACUGCCCCUACCUCAUAGUAGUUGGAAAGGGAAAAAUUGUACUUACCAUAUAGAGAAAAAUUUGAAAUCUUGGUAGCUUAAGUGAUCAUUUCACUCAGUAAUUCGAGUGCCUGUUGAGAUGUGUGUACAAGCUCAGACAGUCUUCCUGGGCUGCGCCAGACUACUAAAAAGCCGAUGAAGCACAUUCUUUAUUCUGCUACAAAACAAAUGUGAAAAUGUCUUGAUGAAAGCUCAGCUGCUUUGCAAAUGUACAAUGAAGGCAAAUUUAACUGUCUGGGAUUGAACGAAGCCACAGUGAAAUGAUGAGAGUGGUUGCAGGAUUUUAGGAAUUUUUGUAUUUGGAUAAAUGAGAAGAUCAACCUGUCCUGUGUUCCCCGCGUGGCUACUGUGGGCUUUGAAGAAGUUAAUGUAGAGAAAGCCUGCUCUUAUGGUGUCUCGUUUUGUUAUCAAUGAAGACUGCAUCUGGACUAGGGAUGGAGGCAGGUGUCCACUUACCUUUUCAGCUCUAGGACCCUUUCUGGUACAGAAACAAAACAUAUUGCCUCAAGUUUCCAGGAGUUCACAUAUGUAUUAAUUCUGAUGAAUUAAAGAACAUAAUUUUUGGGGUGUCCUCCAGCCCUUCUGAACUUUAUGAUUGGAAAAAUGAUUUAUAGUAGCUCAAAACUUGAACGGAAACAAAAGAUUGCUCUGCUGUGUUAUAAACAAGAUUGUGUAAGCAGUCUAAUAAAAUGGGAAAUAAAUUGGGUAGGUUUGACUUAGUGUUGUACAUAUUCAGAAGUUGAAGCUGUUGUUUAAAAUGUAAACCUUCACUGUAGUAUAUACUCACACUUAGAUAACUUUGAUAAAGCAUUAGAACUGUGAAACAUUUAGACUUUGCUUUUACUGUUAAUGAGAUUUAAGCUGUUUGCCCUAUAUUCUUUUCCUUAUUUCAGAAGCUGUUUUGGUUUCUUGUGCGCAUAUUUAAAUCCUUUUUUUUCCUGUGAUUAAACCACUAGG
This 1238-nucleotide long non-coding RNA is filed under the name Mus musculus (house mouse). RNAcentral's name for it is "predicted gene, 20125". Lineage: Eukaryota; Metazoa; Chordata; Mammalia; Rodentia; Muridae. The record is from RNAcentral.